UAAUUAAUUUUUAUCAUAUUUAAUUGGACAGAGUAUAUACCUAUGAAUUCCAGGCUCGAUAUUUGAGGCCCAGUAGCACCAAGCUAUCCUGAAUUCUUGUGUGUGUCAAAUUUAAUAUUUUUAUAAUUUUGUAUGUUUGUUUUGUAAAUUAAAUAAUUAAUUUUUAUCAUAUUUAAUUGGACAGAGUAUAUACCUAUGAAUUCUAGGCUCGAUAUUUGAGGCCCAGUAGCACCAAGCUAUCCUGAAUUCUUGUUUGUGUCAAUUUUAAUACUUUCAUAAUUUUGUAUGUUUGUUUUGUAAAUUAAAUAUUUAAUUUUUAUCAUAUUUAAUUGGACAGAGUAUAUACCUAUGGGUUUCAGGCUCGAUAUUUGAGGUCCAGUAGCACCAAGCUAUCCUGAAUUCUUGUGUGUGUCAAUUUUAAUAUUUUUAUAAUUUUGUAUGUUUGUUUUGUAAAUUAAAUAAUUAAUUUUUAUCAUAUUUAAUUCGACAAAGUAUAUACCUAUGAAUUUCAGGCUCGAUAUUUGAGGCCCAGUAGCACCAAGCUAUCCUGAAUUCUUGUUUGUGUCAAUUUUAAUACUUUCAUAAUUUUGUAUGUUUGUUUUGUAAAUUAAAUAAUUAAUUUUUAUCAUAUUUAAUUGGACAGAGUAUAUACCUAUGGGUUCCAGGCUCGAUAUUUGAGGCCCAAUAGCACCAAGCUAUCCUGAAUUCUUGUGUGUGUCAAUUUUAAUAUUUUCAUAAUUUUGUAUGUCUAUUUUGUAAAUUAAAUAAUUAAUUUUUAUCAUAUUUAAUUGGACAGAGUAUAUACUUAUGAGUUUCAGGCUCGAUAUUUGAGGCCCAGUAGCACCAAUCUAUCCUGAAUUCUUGUGUGUGUCAAUUUUAAUAUUUUUAUAAUUUUGUAUGUUUGUUUUCUAAAUUAAAUAAUUAAUUUUUAUCAUAUUUAAUUAGACAGAGUAUAUACCUAUAAAUUUCAGGCUCGAUAUUUGAGGCUCAGUAGCACCAAGCUAUCCUGAAUUUUUGUUUGUGUCAAUUUUAAUAUUUUCUUAAUUUUGUAUGUUUGUUUUUUAAAUUAAAUAAUUAAUUUUUAUCAUAUUUAAUUGGACAGAGUAUAUACUUAUGGGUUCCAGGCUUGAUAUUGGAGGCCCAGUAGCACUAAGCUAUCCUGAAUUCUUGUUUGUGUCAAUUUUAAUACUUUUAUAAUUUUGUAUGUUUGUUUUGUAAAUUAAAUAAUUAUUUUUUAUCAAAUUUAAUUGGACAGAGUAUAUACCUAUAAAUUCCAGGCCCGAUAUUUGAGGCCCAGUAGCACCAAGCUAUCCUGAAUUCUUGUUUGUGUCAAUUUUAAUAUUUUCUUAAUUUUGUAUGUUUGUUUUUUAAAUUAAAUAAUUAAUUUUUAUCAUAUUUAAUUGGACAGAGUAUAUACUUAUGGGUUCCAGGCUCGAUAUUUGAGGUCGAGUAGCACCAUGCUAUCCUGAAUUUUUGUGUGUGUCAAUUUUAAUAUUUUCAUAAUUUUGUAUGUUUCUCUUGUAAAUUAAAUAAUUAAUUUUUAUCAUAUUUAAUUGGACAGAUUAUAUACCUAUGGGUUUCAGGCUCGAUAUUUGAGGCCCAGUAACAUGAAGCUAUCCUGAAUUCUUGUGUGUGUCAAUUUUAAUAUUUUUAUAAUUUUGUAUGUUUGUUUUGUAAAUUAAAUAAUUAAUUUUUAUCAUAUUUAAUUGGACAGAGUAUAUACCUAUGAAUUCCAGGCUCGAUAUUUGAGGCUCAGUAGCACCAAGCUAUCCUGAUUUCUUGUUUGUGUCAAUUUUAAUAUUUUCUUAAUUUUGUAUGUUUGUUUUUUAAAUUAAAUAAUUAAUUUUUAUCAUAUUUAAUUGGACAGAGUAUAUACAUAUGGGUUUCAGGCUCGAUAUUUGAGGCCCAGUAGCACCAAGCUAUCCUGAAUUCUUGUGUGUGUCAAUUUUAAUAUUUUUAUAAUUUUGUAUGUUUGUUUUGUAAAUUAAAUAAUUAAUUUUUAUCAUAUUUAAUUGGACAGAGUAUAUAUCUAUGGGUUCCAGGCUCGAUAUUUGAGGCUCAGUAGCACCAAGCUAUCCUGAAUUCUUGUUUGUGUCAAUUUUAAUACUUUCAUAAUUUUGUAUGUUUGUUUUGUAAAUUAAAUAAUUAAUUUUUAUCAUAUUUAAUUGGACAGAGUAUAUACCUAUGGGUUUCAGGCUCGAUAUUUGAGGCCCAGUAGCACCAAGCUGUCCCGAAUUCUUGUGUGUGUCAAUUUUAAUAUUUUUAUAAUUUUGUAUGAUUAUUUUGUAAUUUAAAGAAUUAAUUUUUAUCAUAUUUAAUUGGACAGAGUUUAUACCUAUGGGUUUCAGGCUCGAUAUUUGAGGCCCAGUAGCACCAAGCAAUCUUGAAUUC
This 2391-nucleotide long non-coding RNA is filed under the name Nicotiana tabacum (common tobacco). RNAcentral describes it as "long non-coding RNA (NTAB_LNC005671)". Lineage: Eukaryota; Viridiplantae; Streptophyta; Magnoliopsida; Solanales; Solanaceae. The record is from RNAcentral.